Molecule: ribosomal RNA, 274 nt
Filed under: uncultured bacterium
Lineage: Bacteria
Description: partial 16S ribosomal RNA
Rfam family: Bacterial small subunit ribosomal RNA
Source: RNAcentral
AUACGGAGGGGGUUAGCGUUGUUCGGAAUUACUGGGCGUAAAGCGUACGUAGGCGGACUGGAAAGUGGGGGGUGAAAUCCCGGGGCUCAACCCCGGAACUGCCUCCAAAACUUCCAAUCUAGAGAUCGAGAGAGGUGAGUGGAAUUCCAAGUGUAGAGGUGAAAUUCGUAGAUAUUUGGAGGAACACCAGUGGCGAAGGCGGCUCACUGGCUCGAUACUGACGCUGAGGUACGAAAGCGUGGGGAGCAAACAGGAUUAGAUACCCUUGUAGUCC